This 406-nucleotide ribosomal RNA is filed under the name uncultured bacterium. RNAcentral describes it as "partial 16S ribosomal RNA". It matches the Rfam family "Bacterial small subunit ribosomal RNA", at positions 30 to 526 of the family's 1533-position model. The record is from RNAcentral.
AUUGAACGCUGGCGGCAGGCCUAACACAUGCAAGUCGAGCGAGUGGCGGACGGGUGAGUAAUGUCUGGGGAACUGCCCGAUGGAGGGGGAUAACUACUGGAAACGGUGGCUAAUACCGCAUACCAUCGGAUGUACCCAUAUGGGAUUAGCUAGUAGGUGGGGUAACGGCUCACCUAGGCGACGAUCCCUAGCUGGUCUGAGAGGAUGAUCAGCCACACUGGAACGGAGACACGGCCCAGACUCCUACGGGAGGAAGCAGUGGGGAAUAUUGCACAAUGGGCGAAAUCCUGAUGCAGCCAUGCCGCGUGGAUGAAGAAGGCCUUGGGGUUGUAAAGUACGUUCAGCGGGGAGGCGGUACCCGCAGAAGAAGCACCGGCUAACUCCGUGCCAGCAGCCGCGGUAAUUC